RNAcentral lists this ribosomal RNA (371 nucleotides) under uncultured organism. RNAcentral describes it as "partial 16S ribosomal RNA". It matches the Rfam family "Bacterial small subunit ribosomal RNA", at positions 527 to 896 of the family's 1533-position model. The record is from RNAcentral.
GUAGGGGGCAAGCGUUGUCCGGAAUUAUUGGGCGUAAAGAGCACGUAGGCGGUUUGCCAAGUCAGAUGUGAAAUCCCGCAGCUUAACUGCGGAACUGCAUUUGAUACUGGCAGGCUAGAGUACAGGAGAGGGAAGCGGAAUUCCUAGUGUAGCGGUGAAAUGCGCAGAUAUUAGGAAGAACACCGGUGGCGAAGGCGGCUUCCUGGACUGUUACUGACGCUGAGGUGCGAAAGCUAGGGGGAGCAAGCAGGAUUAGAUACCCUGGUAGUCCUAGCCGUAAACGAUGGGCACUAGGUGUAGGGGGUAUCAACUCCCCCUGUGCCGCAGCUAACGCAUUAAGUGCCCCCGCCUGGGAGUACGGUCGCAAGCUA